Molecule: ribosomal RNA, 407 nt
Filed under: uncultured bacterium
Lineage: Bacteria
Description: partial 16S ribosomal RNA
Rfam family: Bacterial small subunit ribosomal RNA
Source: RNAcentral
AUUGAACGCUGGCGGCAGGCCUAACACAUGCAAGUCGAGCGGAGCGGCGGACGGGUGAGUAAUGCCUAGGAAUCUGCCUGGUAGUGGGGGAUAACUUCCGGAAAGGGGCGCUAAUACCGCAUACUAUCAGAUGAGCCUAGGUCGGAUUAGCUAGUUGGUGGGGUAAAGGCCUACCAAGGCGACGAUCCGUAACGGGUCUGAGAGGAUGAUCAGUCACACUGGAACUGAGACACGGGCCAGACUCCGACGGGAGGCAGCAGUGGGGAAUAUUGGACAAUGGGCGAAAGCCUGAUCCAGCCAUGCCGCGUGUGUGAAGAAGGUCUUCGGGUUGUAAAGCACUUUAAGUUGGGAGGCGUUACCCGCAGAAGAAGCACCGGCUAACUACGUGCCAGCAGCCGCGGUAAUUC